This 462-nucleotide ribosomal RNA is filed under the name uncultured bacterium. Its description in RNAcentral is "partial 16S ribosomal RNA". It matches the Rfam family "Bacterial small subunit ribosomal RNA", at positions 28 to 507 of the family's 1533-position model. The record is from RNAcentral.
GACCAACGCUGGCGGGGUGCAUGACACAUGCAAGUCGAACGGGGAGGAUCGGGCUUUCUCGGUUAACCUAGUGGCGGACGGCUGAGUAACGCGUAGGUGACCUACCCUGAAGUUGGGGAUAACUUCCCGAAAGGGUGGCUAAUACCGCAUGUGGUCGGCUGAUCGGUUCGCCGUCCAAAGCCGAAAGGCGCUUCCGGAGGGGCCUGCGUCAGAUUGGCUUGGUGGCGGGGUAACUGCUCACCAAGGCGAGGGACGGUAGCUGGGCGGGGAGGAUGAUCAGCCAGGCUGGGACUGAGAACGGCACAGACUCCGACGGGAGGAGGCAGGAGGGUAUUUUGACCGAUGGACGAAAGUCUGAGGAAGCAACUGCGCGGGAGGGAUGAAGGCCUUCGGGUAGUAAACCUCUUUUCCCAGGGAAGAUCCAAGACGGUACCUGGGGAAUAAGCCACGGCUAACUACGUG